Molecule: ribosomal RNA, 465 nt
Filed under: uncultured bacterium
Lineage: Bacteria
Description: partial 16S ribosomal RNA
Rfam family: Bacterial small subunit ribosomal RNA
Source: RNAcentral
CCUACGGGUGACAGCAGUAGGGAAUCUUCCACAAUGGGCGAAAGCCUGAUGCAGCAACGCCGCGUGGGUGAAGAAGGUCUUAGGAUCGUAAAACCCUGUUGUUAGAGAAGAAAAUGCGGGUGAGUAACUGUUCACGAUUCGACGGUAUCUAACCAGAAAGCCCCGGCUAACUACGUGCCAGCAGACGCGGUAAUACGGAGGUGGAAAGCGUUAUCCGGGUUUAUUGGGCGUAAAGGAAACGCAGGCGGUCUUUUAAGUUAGAUGUGAAAGCCUGCGGCUUAACCGGAGAAGUGCAUUGGAAACUGGGAGACUUGAGUGCAGAAGAGGAGGGUGGAACUCUAGGUGUAGCGGUGAAAUGCGUAGAUAUAUGGAAGAACACCAGUGGCGAAGGCGGCUCUCUGGACUGUAACUGACGCUGAGGUUCGAAAGCGUGGGGAGCAAACAGGAUUAGAUACCCUUGUAGUC